This 253-nucleotide ribosomal RNA is filed under the name uncultured bacterium. RNAcentral's name for it is "partial 16S ribosomal RNA". It matches the Rfam family "Bacterial small subunit ribosomal RNA", at positions 524 to 776 of the family's 1533-position model. The record is from RNAcentral.
UACAGAGGUCUCAAGCGUUGUUCGGAUUCAUUGGGCGUAAAGGGCGCGUAGGCGGCGGGGUAAGUCGGGUGUGAAAUCUCAGAGCUCAACUCUGAAACUGCACUCGAUACUGCUCUGCUUGAGGACUGGAGAGGAGACUGGAAUUCACGGUGUAGCAGUGAAAUGCGUAGAUAUCGAGAGGAACACCUGCGGCGAAGGCGGGUUGCUGGGCUGACACUGACGCUGAUGCGCGAAAGCUAGGGGAGCGAACGGG